Molecule: ribosomal RNA, 440 nt
Filed under: uncultured bacterium
Lineage: Bacteria
Description: partial 16S ribosomal RNA
Rfam family: Bacterial small subunit ribosomal RNA
Source: RNAcentral
CCUACGGGUGGCAGCAGUGAGGGAUAUUGGUCAAUGGGGGAAACCCUGAACCAGCAACGCCGCGUGAGGGAAGACGGUUUUCGGAUUGUAAACCUCUGUCCUCUGUGAAGAUAAUGACGGUAGCAGAGGAGGAAGCUCCGGCUAACUACGUGCCAGCAGCCGCGGUAAUACGUAGGGAGCAAGCGUUGUCCGGAUUUACUGGGUGUAAAGGGUGCGUAGGCGGCCUUGCAAGUCAGAAGUGAAAUCCAUGGGCUUAACCCGUGAACUGCUUUUGAAACUGUAGGGCUUGAGUGAAGUAGAGGCAGGCGGAAUUCCCGGUGUAGCGGUGAAAUGCGUAGAGAUCGGGAGGAACACCGAUUGCGAAGGCAGCAUACCGGCGCCCGACUGACGCUGAGGCACGAAAGCGUGGGGAUCGAACAGGAUUAGAUACCCGAGUAGUC